ACCGUGUGGCGGGAGCGAACCCGCGCCCGGCAGUGGCGGGGGCUGCUCCCAGCUUCAGGCUGUCACGGACCUGCCGCCUCCUCCUACUCCGCAUCCGCCGAGCCUGCCCGGGUCCGGGCGCUUGUCUAUGGGCACCACGGGGAUCCAGCCAAGGUCGUCGAAUGAAAACUGAGGCAGAAGAGGUAAAAUCACUGUCCAAGGUCACACAGCCAAGGUAUAACCAGGGAAUUGUUUCAGAGGUUUCCUUGGAUAUUCCUACAACUGAUAACAGCUGCCAUUUCUUCAGCAUCUACUGUGUAGAACCAUAAUUCCUGGGCACACAUGGCAGCUCAGAAAUGUUGCCUGACCUACUUUGGGGAGAUGAUUUGAGCGAAACACCCAUUCUAGCCUGCAUGACAUGAACAUCUCUGUUUGGCUUUGUGCUUAGACUCAAGAACCUGGAGCUAGCUGCUGUGGGAGGAUCAGAUGUCCGUGUGAAGAUGCUGGCGGCCCCUAUCAAUCCAUCUGACAUAAAUAUGAUCCAAGGAAACUACGGACUCCUUCCCGAACUGCCUGCUGUUGGAGGGAAU
RNAcentral lists this small RNA (569 nucleotides) under Pongo abelii (Sumatran orangutan). RNAcentral describes it as "processed transcript". Lineage: Eukaryota; Metazoa; Chordata; Mammalia; Primates; Hominidae. The record is from RNAcentral.